RNAcentral lists this ribosomal RNA (460 nucleotides) under uncultured bacterium. Its description in RNAcentral is "partial 16S ribosomal RNA". It matches the Rfam family "Bacterial small subunit ribosomal RNA", at positions 338 to 795 of the family's 1533-position model. The record is from RNAcentral.
CCUACGGGGCGCAGCAGUGAGGAAUAUUGGUCAAUGGACGAGAGUCUGAACCAGCCAAGUAGCGUGAAGGAUGACUGCCCUAUGGGUUGUAAACUUCUUUUAUAUGGGAAUAAAAUGUUCCACGUGUGGGAUUUUGUAUGUACCAUAUGAAUAAGGAUCGGCUAACUCCGUGCCAGCAGCCGCGGUAAUACGGAGGAUCCGAGCGUUAUCCGGAUUUAUUGGGUUUAAAGGGAGCGUAGGUGGAUUGUUAAGUCAGUUGUGAAAGUUUGCGGCUCAACCGUAAAAUUGCAGUUGAAACUGGCAGUCUUGAGUACAGUAGAGGUGGGCGGAAUUCGUGGUGUAGCGGUGAAAUGCUUGGAUAUCACGAAGAACUCCGAUUGCGAAGGCAGUUCACUGGACUGCAACUGACACUGAGGCUCGAAAGUGUGGGUAUCAAACAGGACUAGAUACCCGUGUAGUC